Molecule: ribosomal RNA, 510 nt
Filed under: uncultured bacterium
Lineage: Bacteria
Description: partial 16S ribosomal RNA
Rfam family: Bacterial small subunit ribosomal RNA
Source: RNAcentral
GACGAACGCUGGCGGUGUGCUUAACACAUGCAAGUCGAACGAAGAGCGACGGAAGCCUGCUUCUAUCAAUUUUAGUGGCGCACGGGUGAGUAACGCGCAACCAACCUGCCCUUUAGAGGGGGACAACAGUAGGAAAAGACUCCCAAUACCCCCUACGAACCAACCUCGGAAUCGAGGAUGGCUGAAAGGUGGCCUCUACAUGUAAGCUAUCAGUGAAGUAGGGGAUUGCGCCUGAUUAGCUAGUUGGAGGGGUAACGGCCCACCAAGGCGGUGAUCAGUAGCCGGGCUGGGGGGGUGGACCACCACAUUGGGACUGGGGCACGGGCCAAACUCCUAAGGGAGGCAGCAGUGGGGGAUCAUCCGCAAUGGAGGAAAGUCUGGCGGAGCAACGCCGCGUGGGUGAUAACAGCCUUCGGGUUGUAAAGGUCUGUUAGUCGGGACGAAAGGCCUGCUUGCGAAUAGUGAGAAGGAUUGACGGUACCGAAAGAGAAAGCCACGGCUAACUACGUG